GACGAACGCUGUCGGCGUGCUUAACACAUGCAAGUCGAACGGAAAGGCCCUGCUUUUGUGGGGUGCUCGAGUGGCGAACGGGUGAGUAACACGUGAGUAACCUGCCCUUGACUUUGUGAUAACUUCAGGAAACUGGGGCGAAUACCGGAUAUGAGCUCCUGCUGCAUGGUGGGGGUUGGAAAGUGUCGGCGGUUGGGGAUGGUCUCGCGGCUCAUCAGCUUGUUGGUGUGGUAGUGGCUUACCAAGGCUUUGACGGGUAGCCGGCCUGAGAGGGUGACAGGCCACAUUGGGACUGAGAUACGGCCCAGCCUCCUACGGGAGGCAGCAGUGGCGAAUAUUGAACAAUGCGCGGAAGCCUGACGCAGCAACGCCGCGCGCGGGAUGAAGGCCUUCGGGUUGUCAACCGCUUUCGCCUGUGAUGAAGCGUGAGUGCCGGUCAUGGGUAAAGAAGCACCCGAUACCUAGCUG
This 468-nucleotide ribosomal RNA is filed under the name uncultured bacterium. RNAcentral describes it as "partial 16S ribosomal RNA". It matches the Rfam family "Bacterial small subunit ribosomal RNA", at positions 28 to 507 of the family's 1533-position model. The record is from RNAcentral.